Long non-coding RNA from Corticium candelabrum, 719 nucleotides. RefSeq lists it as uncharacterized. The record is from RefSeq and is a predicted model, not a curated record. Lineage: Eukaryota; Metazoa; Porifera; Homoscleromorpha; Homosclerophorida; Plakinidae. The transcript has 2 exons.
CGCGUGAUUGACAGCGAAGCAAGAGCGAGCAGUGAAAGAUGUGCUUGACGCUGACGUCGACCAGCGAAAUCGCGAGCGUUGGACUCUCGAUGCAUUGGAAAUGGCCGUGUGUUGAGUACAACUAAGACAUGCUCGCCUUCUAAUGUGGAAGAUGAUGAGAGCUGACAGAGAGCGGCGACGAUAGCACAAGCGAAAAUACCAAGACGUCUCAUGUCGAGACGACAGCCCGCAACGCAAGAGACGGAGUUGUGACACGAUAGGCGAGGUCUGACAACGGUGAUGGAUGCUGUACGGAGUGACGUGUGGCAGCUUGGGAAGCAGAAGUGUGAGAAAUAAACGGCGGACUUGCGGCGCGCCUAAUAUUCCGUCAGACUAGCUCGCACUUUGGGCGUGAUACGAGUGUAGAACAGAGUAGGGAUGGUGUGACAUUGCUGGAUUGUGUCAGUCCUGGGAUGGUGUGACAUUGCUGGAUUGUGUCACUCCUGGGAUGGUGUGACAUUGCUGGAUUGUGUCACGUGAAGAAGGGAGUUACUGCACGUGUCGUUUGAAAAUCGCAUUGCAACUGCGGCGUGCUCGUGUGUUUGUCUGUUUGUCUGUUACAGCUGUAUCUACUUGCACUGUGGAUUUUGAAGACAAAAGGGUUUCUACGGGUAAGAACUGAAGCCAUGUUUAUCAGGACUUUAGUUAAAUAUUUAAUAAACUUGUGGAUUUGCAAGAGA